GCUACUCAGGGCUUUAAAAAGAUAGAGGAGGAGAAAGCGAGGUUUUCUCAUGGUGUUGAAGCAUAUAUGUUAGAAAGCGAAAGGGUGUGUGGGGAUAUGGUUGUGAAGGGGAGGGAAGAAGCAGAUUUCGACGCUCCUUCGGUGGGCGCUCGUUCUGACAAUGAAGGAGAGCCAGAUAAUGUAGACCUAGCCGAGAUAGAGGAGAGUUGUACUCUGAUGAAAAGAGCCUAAAGUUGUACGAGAUAAUGGUUUGAGAAGAGGAAAGUGAAGAAGGUUUGAAUGUGACUCCCAUCAACUACGAGAAUCAGUUGAUUUAUACACCGAUGGCUCUAUCGGAAGAGGGAAGCUUGGAGAAGCAAUAUUUUGAUUGAGUGUGUCUUUUCAUGGUCUAAAAAACAUAAUACUCUCUCUAUUUGAAGAAAUAGAAACCAAAUUUAUGGAGGAAGGAAAGGAGAGAAAAACAGUGAAGAAAGCAAAAAGAAGCAAGG
RNAcentral lists this long non-coding RNA (488 nucleotides) under Carica papaya (papaya). RNAcentral describes it as "long non-coding RNA (CPAP_LNC009170)". Lineage: Eukaryota; Viridiplantae; Streptophyta; Magnoliopsida; Brassicales; Caricaceae. The record is from RNAcentral.